Haplochromis burtoni (Burton's mouthbrooder) is the source of this 4005-nucleotide long non-coding RNA. RefSeq lists it as uncharacterized. NCBI's taxonomy places the organism in Eukaryota, Metazoa, Chordata, Actinopteri, Cichliformes, Cichlidae. The record is from RefSeq and is a predicted model, not a curated record. The transcript is spliced from 3 exons.
UCCUGCAUGUGUGUGUGUGUUAACAGCUGUCUGUACGAGGACCGGUGUGUGUUUUAGACCUUGUAGCUCGUCGCCAUAGGAUCUUUAUAUAGCUGUUUAAGAGAGCUCAUCAGUGGCUUCAUCCAAACACCAUCACGCAGCCUCAUUUCUCUGAAUCCACCAGCCCACAAUUACAGGCCAUGUGCUGAGACCACAAAGUGGAGGGAUUCCGAGUGGAGACCUGCACUAACCCUCUGAAUGACUGGAACCACGCAGGUCCAGACCAGGGUCUGGAAAAGUCUAAUGAAGCUGGUGCAUGCAAUGAACAUGCACCUCUGAGUCUGAAGGGAUAUUACACACCAGCAAGUAAAAUAAAAUAAAAUAAAAACCAAGAACACUUGUUUGCAUUUGUCUCAGAGAACUUUCAGUGAACAAAGUUGCUUUAGUUGUUGCCUUAGUGGCAAUAGUUGUGGUGUGUCGUUCCGCGCUGUUGUAGGUAAAGCGUUUGGUGUAGUUGCAGCAUUUAGUUGCAAGUUGUUAAUUUACUUGUUGGUCCAGCUGCUGUAAUUGGAGCAACUGGUUUAGUUGCUCUAGUUGCUGUGUUUAACUGCAAAUUGAUGAAUAUUGAGUUUGCAGAAGUUUCUCUUUAGUUGCAGGUGUUUCUGUAGUUUCAUUAGCUGGAGUUGCAGUUAUGACUACAGCUAAAUGGUUAUGUUCACUAGCUGAUUGAGUUUAAUUGCAAGUGUUCCUGUACUUUGUAGUUUAUUUGCUCAUAAGUGUAUAUUUUUGAAGGAAUUUAUUAAGCAAUAGUAUUUAUUAAGAAUCAUUUAUAAAAAAAAGAUGACCAUUAUCAAUAAGACAGGACAGGUGCUUUCUGCAGAAGGUUUCAGAUGCAAUGAUACAGUCUAAUUUCUAAACUCCUUUGAAAUGGGCAGCAGUCUGUAAUGACUGUAAAUGUGUGCAUGAAUGACUUUUUCCCAUAGCAGACUCUGAGUCCGUCAAGAGCUCACGUCAGUUUAUACCAGCAGCAUAAACAUUCGUAGUAUCAGUUUCUGUUUCAUUAUGCAAAACUCAGCUGAAGGGACAAACCCCUGAGAGCAGAAACAGUUUCCCUCCACGUCCAGCCUGAAGCCUCCAGCUCUUUGUGAACAAUAUGCAAAUGAGACCAUUUGCCAAGCGCCCACUGAGAACAGACUUUGUUAUCACAGCGCAGACAAACUGCUCCUUCAGCAGCACCAAAACCCAGGCGACACUUUUAAAGAGCAUUUUUAUCAGGAAUGCUAGUUUGUGAUUUUUUUUAAUCUGUGUUAAUGCGCAGAAUCAGACUACAUCAUCUCUGUGAAGAAAGUGUGACUCACUAGUUUCUGUCUGACUCUCGUAGAAAAAUUAGCUAAAAAGCAGACAUGCAGGCAACUACUGCAAAUACACCCGGUGCUUUAUCUAAGUUGCUGUCACUGUAAUUAAAAGGACAACUGUCUAAAUAAAGACAGUUAAUAUUUAUGUGUUGCAAUAAAAAUAACUGUAUUCACUGGAUAAGGUUUCUUAAACAGCAUGUCAGGCUUUUAUUUAUAUCUGGUUUUGCACAACAGUCCACUCUUUCCAUGAGCAAACAGACAAUUUGAGUCAGUCACAUCUCUAUAAUCAUAAGGCCAAAAUGAACAAAAUUAGUCUGCGUGGAUCAGAGACACUGUAGACAAAAAUAUAAAGACAUUUUUACACAUGCAUUACAGCCCUGAGCCGUCAGCAAAUGACACAAGUGCAUCAGAAGACUCAAAUUCCAGAAUAAGCACCGCAGCACAAAGCCUGCGAAAUUUAGUUAUUAGCAAAUGCAAAAGUUGUUUGUGCAUUCAGUACUGCUGUAAUAGUAUAAAGUAAUCCAUUACUGUAAUUACCUAACUUUCUGCAACUGUACUAAAGUCAGUAAUCACACAAGUUGCUGAUCAAAAAACCGUGUUGUUACUUUAUUAAAGUUCUGUGGUCAUUUCAGAUUGUAUGGUCAGCCCGGUUGAACUCUUUAGAGUUUUGAUCAAAGGGUGAGAUGAUUAUUGGACUCUUUCUAAUUUAACUGGAUUCAUGUGGAGUCUGAGCUGGACUCCUGCUGCUCCACUGUGAAUGAAGGAGGGUCAAAGUUCAGGUGAUCCUCGGUGUUCCCUGCUUCUCUCUGACCAUCGUAACAAUGCUGUGAGUUGUUUCCUCCUUCCAAGUGAGAAAUCACAGCAGAGAACCCAUGUGAGUGAGGGGGCGGAGUCUGGUGAUAAUUAUUAAUUGAGACAGAAUUAAUUAUUUUGCAAGAAUGAAUCUUUUUUUCAUGUUGACUUUCUCUCUAAUCAGAGCCCAUCACUAAUAGGACUGUAUACUGCUGCAAACAGCUAAAUCUGUUGUUUACAUUAAUGUACACUAAUUAAUUUUAUUUUUAAAUUCUGAAAAGAAUUUAAAUAUCAACACAGCAGCAGGCAAAAUAAUUCAAGAAAAACAGAUUCAAAGAGUUAAAGAAAUACCACAUAUAUCUCUACUUACAAUAAAAAACAUGCUUUACGACCUUUAAAGCAGUAAAAUAUGAUCUCUGAUUCAUCCCAGAGGUCACACGAGUUAUUACACUAAAUGUUACUGGAAAGACUGGUCAGUGAGGGGGAGAAGAAACUGGGAACACAAGCAAACAGAACUACAGUGCAAUUGUCAUUUAGUCAGAUAGCAGUGGGACACUGAUGCUAGUGCUAAUACAACCCCAGCCACCUGCCGUGAGGCAAAUGCAUUUACAGCAAGAACACUGCAGGAAUGUUUUUCUCCUAAUAAUCAUUUUCUCCUCCUUUUACGGACCUGCGACUAAAGAUAGAGAUCUGUUCUGUGUGUCUGUGAUAAACCUUUUAUUCAUCAGCGUCACCUGCUGAGUUCAGGUGAUCCAGUCUUUUGCUCUCACCCUUUUCACCUUUCGCAUGCUUGUGAAAAUGGUGAUGUGUGAUGCUUCCAUGUGACAAAUCACAGUGGCAGGAGUCAGGUGAGGUUUUAUUUAGCCAUGUGAUGAAUGUUCUCCUCUACAUUUUAGUAUCUCCUGGAGAGAAGGAGAAAAGUUAGUGAAGCAGAAAGUGCAGAGGAGGCAGUGAUGACAGUACGGCUUCAUACUGAGAAAGAGCACUGCAGAUGCAGUUGUUGCUGAGAGUGUUGAUUGAGAGCUAUUGAGAUUCAUGGCUGUAGUGAAUGGUGUGACAGACGAGAGUAGGGUUAGGAUGAGACGGUGGCAGAUGAUCUGCUACGGCGACCCCUAAAGAGAACAGCCAAAAGAAAAAGAACAAUUCAGAAAACCAUAAAAUAAUUUUUAAAAAGAAUGAAAGACAACUUCAUUCAGCAUUUAGAACAAUUUCAAUAAAAUAUGUUGGAGUGUAAUUGAAUUAAAAAAAAUAUUUACUUUAAAUCUUUUGAGGCUAUACGUUGAUCAGAUUGGUGAUCAAUAAGCAGCAGAUACGAAUAUGAAUGAAAAAACAUGGGAACAGAAAACAAACAGAACUGAAGUGCAAAUGUCAGCUGACUGUGGGCCACUGCUGUUAAUGCUAAUGCAACCUGAGGUACCUGCAGUGAGGCUAAUGUCUCUGCAGCCCCACCUCCCUCUCUGUGUGUUUACAAUGUAAUGGUUGUGUUACCUGCUGCCUGAUCCAAAAACAGGAAGAGCAGUGAGCUUUUAAGUUAGACGACAGGAAGGAAAAACAGGAAGGAAAAACAGGAAGGAAAAACAGGAAGGAAAAAAUCAAACAGAAGGAAAAGAAGAAAGCUAGAAAGAAGAAAGACAGUCACAUGUGAGGUGAAGAAAGCAACAAAUUUCGGACCCAUUAGCCAGUAUAGAUUUGUCUCAAAUGAAGAUGAAAUUUGAAGCACUUUUUAAAAUGAAUUUCUGUACAAGCAGAGGAAUGAGAGCGAUGUGGAAACCUUCCCUCUAAUCUCUUCCUGCUAAUCCUUUUGUCCUGUUCCUCCUUUCUAACGCUCACUUGUGAAAGUGUAAAUGUGUGUGUGUGUGUGUGUGUGUGUGUGUGUGUG